CGGAUAUGGUAUUAUAUUUUGUUCUUGUUUAGCCAUAUCUUGAACGGCUGACAUCCAAUAACAAUCUCUCUAUUUCGCUCUUUAAUCUUGUCAUCAUUUUAUUUUCAUAUUUCAUUCAAAUACUUUGGAUAUAUUCGUUUGCUGAAUUCAAUUAUUUAUUCUAAAAACAGCUUUGGGUAAAACACUUUCCAGGUUAUGCUUCCCCUUCCUGCACUUAAUAGCUAAAGGUAAACCUAAAUUAAUUCCGCUGUAGUUUAUAUGUGUAUGUUGGUUAAAUGGAUAUGGAUUCUAAAGUCUAACAGUUCACCCACUAUUUUAUUUGUGCCGAUUGAAUCCAAAUUUAACUUAAAUAUGGUAAUUCAAAAAGGAAAGGGAGGUAUUAAUUGGAAACUUCCAUUGCCGAAGUCGAGAACGAGAUUAAAAUCCAAAAUUUGAAAACUAAUCUACUCAAUAAAGAAGUAUUACUCAUGAUUCAAACAGCAAAUAUAUGUUGACCUUUUUUCCCCUCUAUGACGGGACAGUAGGCUAAAGGCAAGAAAAAGGACAAAAAUUUAUGCUUUGUAAACACACCGAUUCAGUUUGCAAGUUGAUAAAGGAUUUAGCAUCUGGUUCAAUGGUUUUGGUUGCCUGAUAGUAGAUAUACAACUAGCGACUCUAAGAGAUUUUUUUCGGUUCGAGGGAUGAUAUAUUAGCAACUAAAGGAAAAUAGGUACAUCAUCUUCAAAGGGUACGAAGUACCCCUAAUUUCACAAUAUUGAUAUUACAUUCCAAAAUGUUUCUUGGAAACACAAUUCCUAGGAUAUUUAUCCAAAAAGCUUCAUUUGCAAAUACCGGAGGAACUGCCAGUAUUGUUGUUCUUCCAAAAAGAUCUUUCUUUGCUCCUUCCUUCGCCAGCAGAUCAGCUACCAUGUUCUUCUCCCUGUAGUUGUGUUUCACCAUUGUGCCUCUCAAUCUUUGGAUUAUUGACCUGCAUUUAGAGAUAAUAGAGUCAUAAACAUAGUUUCCUAUUUUAAGCAUUCUUAUUACCUUUGUUGAGUUUGAGUUGAUUUCUAGAGUUGUUAGACACCUUUGUUAUGCAAUUUGCAGUCCUUGUAAUAGUACAAGAAGCUCAGCUUGGGUAUUUGUUGUGUGUGGCAGGCUUCUGAUCGGUGCCAACCCUACACCACUACAAAGUGGCGAGAGCGGUCGAAGCAACUUUUACCCGAGAUGGUCGGGAUCGAAUCCACAGGGAGCUAGAAUUGGGAAUUGGAUUCCUAUCUAAAUUAGUAGUGUGUAGUGCUCUUAAUUACACUUCUAAUCAUCUUUUGGUUGUUUGUUACUUCUAAUAUUUAUGUUAAUGAUAUGCUAAAUUAAACUAAGAAUGAUUGCUUGUAAGGUUUUCUAAAUGAUUAAAGAGGCACUAGGGAAGUAACUUUCUCCUAGGUGAAUACUUGACGGGAUCUAAAGCCUAAAGCAAAGAAGUUAUGUUGGGGAUUUCGAUAUAGCCAAUGCACGAAAUUACUCACUCUAUACCUCUCGGUAGCUUGAGUGACUUUGCC
This 1538-nucleotide long non-coding RNA is filed under the name Nicotiana tabacum (common tobacco). Its description in RNAcentral is "long non-coding RNA (NTAB_LNC014945)". The record is from RNAcentral. Lineage: Eukaryota; Viridiplantae; Streptophyta; Magnoliopsida; Solanales; Solanaceae.